GAUCAUGGCUCAAGACGAACGCUGGCGGCGCGCAUAACACAUGCAAGUCGAACGAGCGAGAGAGAGCUUGCUUUCUCAAGCGAGUGGCGAACGGGUGAGUAACGCGUGAGGAACCUGCCUCAAAGAGGGGGACAACAGUUGGAAACGACUGCUAAUACCGCAUAAGCCCACGACCCGGCAUCGGGUAGAGGGAAAAGGAGCAAUCCGCUUUGAGAUGGCCUCGCGUCCGAUUAG
This 234-nucleotide ribosomal RNA is filed under the name uncultured bacterium. RNAcentral's name for it is "partial 16S ribosomal RNA". It matches the Rfam family "Bacterial small subunit ribosomal RNA", at positions 15 to 244 of the family's 1533-position model. The record is from RNAcentral.